CUGUUUUCUGAAGUUCCAUGGCCAAAGCUGUAAAGGGAUGCUCAAGAGGAGGGAUGAUCACUGUUGAAUCAGCACCUGGGCCCUUAUCUGCCAUGGUCACCUCAGGCCUUGUCUGUGGCUUCAGAGUCUGUCGCCAGGAGGGACUCUGGCCACUUAACCACCAACGACUCACUCUCAAGCCAGGACAUCCCAAUACCACCCCAAAGACAUCGCCUCAGUCUGUGAGCAGAUAAGGAAUCAGAAGCUCAAAGCAAGUAAGGGGUUUACCCAAGAGCUCAUGAGAAGCAAGUUAAAGAGCUGGGACUGCAAGAGACAGAGGGAUGCCUCAAGGCAUGACCUGGUGGCCUGGAAUUCCCUCUCAGACCUAGAACGCCCUGCUUUCCAGUAUCACUUCUGGUUAACUAAG
Lagenorhynchus albirostris (white-beaked dolphin) is the source of this 406-nucleotide long non-coding RNA. RefSeq lists it as uncharacterized. The record is from RefSeq and is a predicted model, not a curated record. The transcript has 3 exons. Lineage: Eukaryota; Metazoa; Chordata; Mammalia; Artiodactyla; Delphinidae.